Long non-coding RNA from Gavialis gangeticus (Gharial), 165 nucleotides. RefSeq lists it as uncharacterized. NCBI's taxonomy places the organism in Eukaryota, Metazoa, Chordata, Crocodylia, Gavialidae. The record is from RefSeq and is a predicted model, not a curated record. The transcript is spliced from 4 exons.
UGGCACAUGUGCCCCCACAUGGGCUUGGCCAGUUGUUCUGGGUUGACCAGGGCUGUACCCUGCAGAUUUUCCCAGACUGAUUGGCGAUAUGCAGCUAUUGUGUAUUCAAUUCUGUGAGCGAUCCCCACUUCAUCCAUAUGGCGGAACCACAAAAUACCCGGACCA